This 120-nucleotide ribosomal RNA is filed under the name uncultured Brevundimonas sp. Its description in RNAcentral is "partial 16S ribosomal RNA". Lineage: Bacteria; Pseudomonadati; Pseudomonadota; Alphaproteobacteria; Caulobacterales; Caulobacteraceae. The record is from RNAcentral.
UCUUCUCCGGGUACCGUCAUUAUCGUCCCCGGUGAAAGAAUUUUACAAUCCUAAGACCUUCAUCAUUCACGCGGCAUGGCUGCGUCAGGCUUUCGCCCAUUGCGCAAGAUUCCCCACUGC